Molecule: long non-coding RNA, 1425 nt
Organism: Bactrocera latifrons
Lineage: Eukaryota; Metazoa; Arthropoda; Insecta; Diptera; Tephritidae
Exons: 4
Source: RefSeq, a predicted model, not a curated record
UUAAUAAAUAAUUUCCAUGCUGCUAGCAACCCUACUUCCGUUUCCUAACUGUUCUUUCACAUCAACGAGUAAACCGAACAGCUGAAGUCAGCAACUGCAAUUCGUUCUUUGCAAGUGAAUUUCUUUUAUAUGAUGUGUUGUGCCAAUGUUAUAAGUAAAUAAAAUAAGUGUUGGUUUUUGUGGUAUGAUAUAAUUGAGUGUAGUAAUGUUUUUCAUACAAUAUAGUUGCUGUUGAAAAAUAUUUGUUUUAUUUAAACAGCAACAGCGUAUGAGUGUCGAAAACAUGCGCAGUCAUGCGAGAUUUAUCUGAAGUUUGUUUUUGUAAAGCUUUCAAUGGCUUCAAGUUGCUGAUUUCAUGUGAAAAAUAUGCUAUUAAAGCAAUUUCAUAAAUAAAUUUAUAAAGUGUGUAAUUGUAAAGUGUAUAAUUGUAAAGUUUUCGCAUUUGCGCAGGUAAAUUGCACUUCGUGUCAUAUGUAUAUGUUUGUAUCUAUGCUUGAGCAAAUUAUUGACGCUUAUGCCCCUAAACACCCCCAGGAAAAUAAAUAAAGCACUCGCUUAUAAUCAACGCCAACAAAUUACAUGUUUUGCGACUUGCGAUAGUGAAAUUUGUGUGCUUUUCCGCUUUAAACACCGUUCGCAGCGAUUCAAGUAUUCCUUCAGCUCAGCGGGUCCUUUGAAUUUCUUCGCCACUUUCUUGGCUGUCUGGCUGGCGCAAGUGGGUCAAGCGUUGCAUAAAUGCAUACACACACACAUACACUCACACAUCUGCACAACGAACGAGCGAAAAUAAAAGUCAUACGGGAAGAAAGCACUUGGCGCUGGCGGUGCUGCACACAUAAAACUACUGCCAAAUCGCUUACUAUCGUGUUUGUGGCACACAAAGGCAUGCCAUGCAUUAAUAUAACAGCGGUGAGAGGUGGCAGCAACAACGCGGAAUGUCGAUGCCGGACUGCCUUUACAAUGAGCCGCCGAAUCGAAGAUAUGCAAGCCGAGAAUACCGCUUACUUGCUAGUAACAGUAUCCGCAAAAGAUUGAGAUGCCUUCAUAGUUAUUUACUUAGACCAAGUUUUUCCAAUAACGAAGUUCAAUCUUGCGUUUUCCAUAUAUGAACAAUCUAGUUGCCAAGGAAGAGUCAUUGAGAACAAGAAUGACGUGUAUCAGCAGGGCAGUUUAAGUCAAGAUGAAAAUUUGCUACAAAUGAAGAUGAUGUUCAGAUGAAAACUGCAUCAACUGGAGAUGAAAAGUACUAUUCAAAAGGAUUCCAGGAACUACCAAAAGACACAAGCGUCUGUUAUUAAUUUUUUUCAUUUUUAACUCAGUAUUUAUGAAUUUAUUUUUAGUGUGUUACUCUUUUUUCCACAUAGUAUUUAUGUUUAUUCCUGUGUUCAACAAUAUAUAACUAUGGAGAAUUUUUAAGAUUUUUUC